AUACGUAUGUCGCAAGCGUUAUCCGGAAUUAUUGGGCGUAAAGCGAGUCUAGGCGGCUUGUUAAGUCAGAUGUGAAAAUGCGGGGCUCAACUCCGUAUUGCGUUUGAAGCUGGCAGGCUAGAGUACUGGAGAGGUGGGCGGAACUACAAGUGUAGAGGUGAAAUUCGUAGAUAUUUGUAGGAAUGCCGAUAGUGAAGACAGCUCACUGGACAGAUACUGACGCUAAAGCUCGAAAGCGUGGGGAGCGAACAGGAUUAGAAACCCCGGUAGUCC
This 273-nucleotide ribosomal RNA is filed under the name uncultured bacterium. RNAcentral's name for it is "partial 16S ribosomal RNA". It matches the Rfam family "Bacterial small subunit ribosomal RNA", at positions 523 to 796 of the family's 1533-position model. The record is from RNAcentral.